Molecule: ribosomal RNA, 140 nt
Filed under: uncultured Geobacter sp.
Lineage: Bacteria; Pseudomonadati; Thermodesulfobacteriota; Desulfuromonadia; Geobacterales; Geobacteraceae
Description: partial 16S ribosomal RNA
Rfam family: Bacterial small subunit ribosomal RNA
Source: RNAcentral
UGGGGAAUUUUGCGCAAUGGGGGAAACCCUGACGCAGCAACGCCGCGUGAGUGAUGAAGGCCUUCGGGUCGUAAAGCUCUGUCCGAGGGGAAGAAAUGCAGGGUGGCUAAUAUCCAUGACACUUGACGGUACCCUCAAAG